AUUGAACGCUGGCGGCAUGCCUUACACAUGCAAGUCGAACGGCAGCGCGGGGGCAACCCUGGCGGCGAGUGGCGAACGGGUGAGUAAUAUAUCGGAACGUACCCAAGAGUGGGGGAUAACGUAGCGAAAGUUACGCUAAUACCGCAUACGAUCUAAGGAUGAAAGUGGGGGACCGCAAGGCCUCACGCUCCUGGAGCGGCCGAUAUCUGAUUAGCUAGUUGGUGGGGUAAAGCCUACCAAGGCAUCGAUCAGUAGCUGGCCUGAGAGGACGACCAGCCACACUGGGACUGAGACACGGCCCAGACUCCUACGGGAGGCAGCAGUGGGGAAUUUUGGACAAUGGGGGGCAACCCUGAUCCAGCAAUGCCGCGUGAGUGAAGAAGGCCU
Molecule: ribosomal RNA, 387 nt
Filed under: uncultured bacterium
Lineage: Bacteria
Description: bacterial SSU rRNA
Rfam family: Bacterial small subunit ribosomal RNA
Source: RNAcentral